This 25-nucleotide microRNA is filed under the name Mus musculus (house mouse). RNAcentral describes it as "mmu-miR-7687-5p". The record is from miRBase by way of RNAcentral. Lineage: Eukaryota; Metazoa; Chordata; Mammalia; Rodentia; Muridae.
AGGCGGGGAACCUGAGGCGCAGGCU